GCAAAGAAUUCCCAGUCCUCCCGAAAUGGUAGACCGCUUCAGCCUGAGAUUUUUUUUUUUUUUUCCACCUUCUAGAAGCUGCCAUGGCUCCAGCAGACUUGCAAAGGGAAACGGACAGGAUAUGUGCCAGAGUGAGCAGCCAGCUUAUUAUUUCAAAGCGCUCCCUCCUUUGAGAUUCUGUCCUCCUCGCCAGUCCCCACUGGACUUAGAGCUGGAAGACCUGGAUUUGAGAUCCAGCCACACUGCUUACUAAGACUGUGUGACCUUAGGAGAAAGUCUUGACUUCAGAAGGGCAGAGAGUGUCAGACUAUCAUCUGUGUAGCAUGGAAGAUGCCUGGGCCCAUGGCCUACACUCCCACAGAUGCUGACGCCAAAUGCCAGGGAACAGAGGCAGGAAAAAGAGAUGAAAACAGGAAGCCUUGAAGAAUGGAAGCAGAGACGAAGGCCAUGUUUCCCCACCCCCACCCCCAUCCUUUUCUCCUCCCCUGCCUUUUUUU
This is a long non-coding RNA of Cervus elaphus (red deer), 497 nucleotides long. RefSeq lists it as uncharacterized. The transcript has 3 exons. The record is from RefSeq and is a predicted model, not a curated record. NCBI's taxonomy places the organism in Eukaryota, Metazoa, Chordata, Mammalia, Artiodactyla, Cervidae.